AUUUAUAUAAUAUAAUUUAGUAUAAUUAAUUUCCAAUUAAUAUGUCUUAAUAAAUAAGUAUAAAUA
RNAcentral lists this transfer RNA (66 nucleotides) under Philotrypesis tridentata. RNAcentral's name for it is "tRNA-Gly". Lineage: Eukaryota; Metazoa; Arthropoda; Insecta; Hymenoptera; Pteromalidae. The record is from RNAcentral.